Molecule: long non-coding RNA, 1665 nt
Organism: Dicentrarchus labrax (European seabass)
Lineage: Eukaryota; Metazoa; Chordata; Actinopteri; Moronidae
Exons: 4
Source: RefSeq, a predicted model, not a curated record
UCUAAGAGUGUUGGAUCCACUCGUUAUUUAUUCUCGCUCUUACUUUUAAUUUCCAUACUUUAUUUUACUUUGUUUGCAACACGUGUUGAAUUUUUCUUCAAGUUAUAAAUUGCUGUGCUGAAGUACUUUCCUAAGUACUUUUAUUUUGAAAGCUUAAGACACAAACGAAUUUCUUCUUUUAUAUUUUUGUAGUCUUAUCGUCGAGUAUUGUCGCCUGAUUCACAGAAAGUGAAUUUAAUCUAAUUCUUGGACUUAGGUACGACGGAGAAUUCGCCAGGCCAGCGUUUCAUCCUCCAGUUAUUUUCAAACAAGAAGCUGAAUUAGUUUACAAUCAAAGCUGAAGACCAACCACUCUAAGACAUUUAUCAUCAGCCAGAAGGACGUCGCAGUAGUUGACUGCUCAAGAAGACGUAAAAACGUUUCCAGCCGGACAAAGACAUUAUUCUCCAGCCACCUUGCCCCCAACGCUCACUAGCGCACACGCCGCGCUGGGCCUUUUGGAGAGAUUUUUUGGAGCAACUUCCCUCAGCCUGUUGGAUCAGUGACGCAAAGCCGCAGUUGAGUUAAAAGCCAAGGACCUGGAAUCCUUCCAAGUUCCAUCUACAAACAAAGACCACCAGCAGCAGUCCAGGGAAGAGCAGCUGUGUCUCCACCAACAGGUUUUUCUUCAUUAGUGCGGACAGAGGAUUCUGUUUACAACAGAAUUCACCUGCCGUUACUAUUUUCUGUCAACUAGUUUGUUAUUUUGGCUGUGUUCUGGUCUGUUCUGAUGUUUGUGUUCUCUAGCUCUCCCACUAACCAAAGGAAAUAACAUGUCAAUGAUGAUAGUAAGUCUUUUGUGUUAUAUGCAUUCUUUAUUUAUGCUGUCAUUCAAGGAUUUGGCAUGUAAAAUACCACAGAGGCUUAGAUACAGGUUCACGUGCCACAUCUUUGAUUGACCAGUGAUAUUCUUACUAUAUACUGAUAUUGUUUCUGUGCUUUACCUGUUUUCAGAUGCUUAAAAGAUUUGUGUUUUUACUUUUCAAAUAAACAGCAAUUCACAAUUUAAUGAAAAUGUUUAGUCUGUACUACCAGUUAGCUGCAAAGACAACAAGUAAAGUCAGAUUGCGAAGCAUAACAAACUUAAAUGUGUUUGUAUCUCACCAUCCUAGAUACAUCAUCCCCACAGAGUAUUGCCCCUGUGGAAGCACAGGGAGACACUUUCCAUGAUGAAGCUCCACCAUGUCUAGUUCCUCCUGUCAGGCAGCCAGCAGCCCCAGUCCCAGGCCAUGAUCAGGAUGUUGCACAGUGGAACUGCUCCCAUCAGCAGAAGAUAUGGAUGAAGACUGAGCUCGAGACAUUGGGUCUGUGCCCAGGGUCAAGUCCUGACUCCGGUCCCAUUUCCGCCCAAUAUGUCAAUAUUGUUUCCCCUGCGGCCCUGGUCACUGUUAUAUGGGUCAUCUGACUCGUCUCCCCCUAACUGGUUUGCGGCGUGGUCCUCUCUCUGGGGCUGGUGCACUCCCCCCUCCUCCUCCCCUCCAUUGCUGAGGGCGGUCCCCUGCUCCUCUCCAGCUACAUCCACCUGCGCCUCCUCCGCUCCCUCCGGUGUGUGGGAUAGCGAUCUUCCUCCGGUGCUGGGUCCAUCUUCAGUAGCAGCUGGUUUAAAAACUCCGGUGAGCUUUGGGA